UGGGGAAUUUUGGACAAUGGGCGCAAGCCUGAUCCAGCCAUGCCGCGUGCGGGAAGAAGGCCUUCGGGUUGUAAACCGCUUUUGUCAGGGAAGAAAUCUUCUGAGUUAAUACCUCGGGAGGAUGACGGUACCUGAAGAAUAAGCACCGGCUAACUACGUGCCAGCAGCCGCGGUAAUACGUAGGGUGCAAGCGUUAAUCGGAAUUACUGGGCGUAAAGCGUGCGCAGGCGGUUUUGUAAGACAGAGGUGAAAUCCCCGGGCUCAACCUGGGAACUGCCUUUGUGACUGCAAGGCUUGAGUGCGGCAGAGGGGGGAUGGAAUUCCGCGUGUAGCAGUGAAAUGCGUAGAUAUGCGGAGGAACACCGAUGGCGAAGGCAAUCCCCUGGGCCUGCACUGACGCUCAUGCACGAAAGCGUGGGGAGCAAACAGGAUUAGAUAGCCCCUGGGUAGGUCCACGCCCCUAAAACGAUGUCAACUGGUUGUUGGGAAGGUUCCUUCUCAGUAACGUAGCUAACGCGUGAAGUUGACCGCCUGGGGAGUACGGCCGCAAGGUUGG
This 556-nucleotide ribosomal RNA is filed under the name uncultured bacterium. RNAcentral's name for it is "partial 16S ribosomal RNA". It matches the Rfam family "Bacterial small subunit ribosomal RNA", at positions 355 to 897 of the family's 1533-position model. The record is from RNAcentral.